Molecule: long non-coding RNA, 605 nt
Filed under: Mytilus galloprovincialis (Mediterranean mussel)
Lineage: Eukaryota; Metazoa; Mollusca; Bivalvia; Mytilida; Mytilidae
Source: RNAcentral
CAAAGUAUUUAAAAUUCUUAGACACUUAAAUAUGGUUUUUCUAACUGAUAAAUGUUGCAUUUUUAAUGAAAAGCGUUGAAACAAAAGCUUGACAUGAAAUUGUACAGACACUAACUAAAAAAAAAAAAAAGAAAUACGUUCGUGUAAAUUGAAUAGAAGAUCGGAGUUGAAAAUGAUAAAUUGUAAAAAGUCACUGACGCCGUCAUUAGCAAACGAAAUAAUCUGAUGUUAGCCUAACAAAAAACAUAAAUAUUUUUUUGUAGGGAGAAUCUUUGUGUAGAAACUACAAAUUAAGACCAUGAUAAAUGAUUCACUCCGUUAGUGUCUAUUUACUAAUUGGAGCUUUCUUGAUAGAGGAAAUGAAUAUAGUAAUAAUUUCUAUUUACUGACCAACUUUCUUUACAGAAAAUCGAUCCAGGACGGAAAAAUACGGAUAUAUUCGGAUGUUGUUUGAUAGACAGAGACGUAUCUCUUUAGGAAAUGCAUGAAAACAAAUACAUCGUUAUAUGUGACUUGCUGAGAACACAGUUGUAAUGCUUGACUUUACAUUUGUCGUAAGACUUUACAAUAGUAUGGUUAAUUUUAAGGAUAUUUGCUGAGAACAC